UUUCGCAAUGCCCGAAAGGGUGACGAAGCGACGCCGCGUGGGUGAGGAAGGCCCUCGGGUUGUAAAGCCCUGUCAGGAGUUAAGAAAUGUAGACUCGCUAAUACCGUGUCUAUUUGACAAAGGCUCCAAAGGAAGCCACGGCUAACUCUGUGCCAGCAGCCGCGGUAAUACAGAGGUGGCAAGCGUUGUUCGGAAUUAUUGGGCGUAAAGAGCACGUAGGUGGAUUUGUAAGUCAGAUGUGAAAGCCUUCUGUUCAACGGGAGAAUUGCAUCUGAAACUACAGACCUUGAGUAUAGGAGGGGAGAAUGGAACUUCUGGUGGAGCGGUGAAAUGCGUAGAUAUCAGAAGGAACGCCGGCGGCGAAAGCGAUUCUCUGGCCUAUUACUGACACUCAGUGUGCGAAAGCUAGGGGAGCAAACGGGAUUAGAUACCCCGGUAGUCCUAGCCGUAAACGAUGGGCACUAAGUAGAGGGGUUUUA
This 479-nucleotide ribosomal RNA is filed under the name uncultured bacterium. Its description in RNAcentral is "bacterial SSU rRNA". It matches the Rfam family "Bacterial small subunit ribosomal RNA", at positions 364 to 833 of the family's 1533-position model. The record is from RNAcentral.